This 229-nucleotide ribosomal RNA is filed under the name uncultured bacterium. RNAcentral describes it as "partial 16S ribosomal RNA". It matches the Rfam family "Bacterial small subunit ribosomal RNA", at positions 568 to 796 of the family's 1533-position model. The record is from RNAcentral.
UCCGUAGGCGGAUUGAUAAGUCAGAGGUGGAAUCCCACAGCUUAACUGUGGAACUGCCUUUGAAACUGUUAGUCUUGAGUUAUAUGGAAGUAGAUAGAAUGUGUAGUGUAGCGGUGAAAUGCAUAGAGAUUACACAGAAUACCGAUUGCGAAGGCAGUCUACUACGUAUAUACUGACGCUAAUGGACGAAAGCGUGGGGAGCGAACAGGAUUAGAUACCCUGGUAGUCC